GUGGAACAACAAAAGAGAGCCUGCUGCAUUCUUUCUAAGCAAACAAAAAGCAUAAUUGGAAAAAAUCAUUUUUAUGUUCUCUUACGUUAGAUGGGACCACUGAGUGAAACAUCCACUGAUGAAUUACUCCUCUAAUCUGUAGAGGAAAAACAGCUACUGGCAAAUUAAAGAGUCCUGGAACAGAGCCAUGAGAACUAAAUGGCUAAAAAUGAAAACAGGCAAACAUUUGAAGAGUAUUCUACAGAACACAGAUCUUUCAACACCUCCCCCUUUUCCAUGGCUAAUUCAUUGUCAUGGAAACUGAAUUUAUCAAAAUGUUCUUGUUCACUCCUAGUGACCCAGUGAGUCGACUUACAGAGCUGGUGAAAGGUAACGCAGGCUGAAGCAAUUUUUACAAAUGAUAUGCAGCAGUUCAUAAAUCGCAUUUUCCUUUGCUGAUCUGUAGCCCAAGCAUGCAAAAAUCCUUCAUCGCAAACAUCUUUCCUUAUCUGUUGCUGAAGGAAUGACCUGAGGAGGAAAACAAAACAACAAACAACAAAAACAAACAAACAGGAAAUGAUCACUGGUGAACUUUGGAAAUGACACAGUAAUUGAAGGAAGACAGACAAGUAGUAGUGAAGAAAAAGGAUUACUGCCACUGCACUAUUCAAUCUGUCAAGGCAGAUUGCACCAGCAAAUAAAAUGUAUUUUAUUAUGGCUCAAGAAAAAGACAGUCGACACUGUGAUUCCUGGAGAGACCGGAGAGGGGAAGAAACUGAGCUGGAUCCCAGAGGAAGACACAAGUCAUCCUUCAUCCCUGCAUGAAGACGGAAAUCAGGGAAGGCAAAAAGUUAGUGAGGGGAAGAGACAACAGACAGAAUGGAGCAGUGAGACCCACCUAAUACAAUUUGUGACUACACUUGGAAAUGAGAUGAGGUUUUGGAACUAAUUUCCUACAGUCUAACUUGCAUGUGAAAUCUGAAGUAAGGGUUAGUGCACACUCUAGCAAGAAUUUACAUGUAUGUAAAAAAAAAAUCAGCACACCUUUGCACAGUUACCACAAUGAAUGAGUACUAACAACAUCCUUCCUUGGCUAAAAGCUGGUGUCACAUUUUGAGGAUACAAUUGGAAGAAAUGGACAUAAGUAGCGAGUACUGUCUUUCACUGCUGCUCUGCUCCUGUGAUCUAUAAAUAAAGAGAACUUUAACCUUUUGUAAGCUCA
RNAcentral lists this long non-coding RNA (1201 nucleotides) under Anas platyrhynchos platyrhynchos (common mallard). RNAcentral's name for it is "lncRNA (ENSAPLG00000021830.1)". The record is from RNAcentral. Lineage: Eukaryota; Metazoa; Chordata; Aves; Anseriformes; Anatidae.